RNAcentral lists this transfer RNA (75 nucleotides) under bacterium. RNAcentral's name for it is "tRNA-Arg". It matches the Rfam family "tRNA". Rfam says of the family: Transfer RNA (tRNA) molecules are approximately 80 nucleotides in length. Their secondary structure includes four short double-helical elements and three loops (D, anti-codon, and T loops). Further hydrogen bonds mediate the characteristic L-shaped molecular structure. tRNAs have two regions of fundamental functional importance: the anti-codon, which is responsible for specific mRNA codon recognition, and the 3' end, to which the tRNAs corresponding amino acid is attached (by aminoacyl-tRNA synthetases). tRNAs cope with the degeneracy of the genetic code in two manners: having more than one tRNA (with a specific anti-codon) for a particular amino acid; and 'wobble' base-pairing, i.e. permitting non-standard base-pairing at the 3rd anti-codon position. The record is from RNAcentral.
GGUCCCGUGGUGAAACGGAUAUCAUAUCGCCCUCCGAAGGCGGGGUUGCAGGUUCGAUUCCUGCCGGGACCGCCA